Molecule: ribosomal RNA, 484 nt
Filed under: uncultured bacterium
Lineage: Bacteria
Description: partial 16S ribosomal RNA
Rfam family: Bacterial small subunit ribosomal RNA
Source: RNAcentral
AUUGAACGCUGGCGGCAGGCCUAACACAUGCAAGUCGAGCGGAUGAAGGGAGCUUGCUCCUGGAUUCAGCGGCGGACGGGUGAGUAAUGCCUAGGAAUCUGCCUGGUAGUGGGGGAUAACGUCCGGAAACGGGCGCUCAUACCGCAUACGUCCUGAGGGAGAAAGUGGGGGAUCUUCGGACCUCACGCUAUCAGAUGAGCCUAGGUCGGAUUAGCUAGUUGGUGGGGUAAAGGCCUACCAAGGCGACGAUCCGUAACUGGUCUGAGAGGAUGAUCAGUCACACUGAAACUGAGACACGGUCCAGACUCCUACGGGAGGCAGCAGUGGGGAAUAUUGGACAAUGGGCGAAAGCCUGAUCCAGCCAUGCCGCGUGUGUGAAGAAGGUCUUCGGAUUGUAAAGCACUUUAAGUUGGGAGGAAGGGCAGUAAGUUAAUACCUUGCUGUUUUGACGUUACCAACAGAAUAAGCACCGGCUAACUUCGUG